RNAcentral lists this long non-coding RNA (8295 nucleotides) under Gallus gallus (chicken). RNAcentral's name for it is "lncRNA (ENSGALG00010002899.1)". The record is from RNAcentral. Lineage: Eukaryota; Metazoa; Chordata; Aves; Galliformes; Phasianidae.
GAUGCAGCCAGCCCUGGGAGCACAGGUGGAAGCAAUUCAACCUCGUGACUGGAAGGGGUGGACCCUGUCUCCAUCCCCUCCUAACCUCAUUUAAGAGCUGGCAGCCACAAGGAAAGGAUGCUUCUGUGGAAAUCCCUCCUUUUGGAGUGUUUAGUGAGCCCUGAUCAUUGGAUGGGUGACCACAAGUCUUCUGCAAGUGCUGAAAAGCAGUUUGCUGCCCCUGCAUCACCAGCUGUGCAGACACGUUUAGUACCUGUGCUCGACGGACGGUGAGCAGCCACCUUGUGCUGAGUGGUACCUGGGGGGGAGACUGAGCAUGCAGCCUCUGCUAGGUGCCAUGCAUGCCUUAUUCUGAUGUAUACAAAGGCUGAUAGGAUCCGGCCCAAAGAUGUAGGUGGGAGAAUCAUUACAAGAAGAUAUGCUGGGCUCUGCUUUAGAAGCUGGGAUGUAUGCUGGAGUUCUUCCUUCUGACCUGGAGCUGCCUUGCAAGCUACCAUUGCUCUGACUUCCUCAAUGGAACCUCAUGGGUGGUGAAGUGAGUUGAGAAAAUCCAAACCAAAACUGCUUAAAGAUGCCUCUUCUGCCCUGCCUCGUGUUGGAAGAACUCCUCGUAUCUGUGCCUGCCUCUUCUCCAUGGUGGUUUUAACACCAGGACUGCCACACCGCUCUGGCUGAGGCAACAAGGAAGGCCACAGCCUAACUGUAUUUUAAAUAACCACGUAAUGCUUCAGUAUCUCAACUACUUCUUGUGAAGCAGCUUCUAUCAUAUCUGAAAGAUGAGUUAUAAUUUGGAGAUUGGCCUUGGUGAUCUCCAGAGGUCCCUUUCAACCCUUAUGGUUCUGUGAUUAUCAGUCGUGGUGAUAUGCUGAUUCAAGCUGUACAGGAGAAACCAACAACUCAACUCUGUAUUGUGAUGAGACUCUCAGUGCUGUAUGGACAGAAUGGGGAAGCAUUCAAGCGCGUUUCCUUUCUCAGCACGUGGGAUACAGGAGGGCAGCAAAGCAUCACCUGUGAUGAACCACUCAUGUAUCCUUCUUGUAUCUGCAGGUCAGCUGCUGUUUAUGUUCGUUAGUAAAUUAUGUGCCAACCUCAUCACGUCACCCUGCAAUCACAGUGCUGUGUUCCAUGUGUCCAACCUCCAUACAUUUGUGUUUAUAUUGAGCUAUUGCAUCCUGCUCAGGGGUGAGGGCACCUCUCUGCUGCUGCACAAAUUGGAGAACUUCUGCUUCACCAAAGCUCAUAAUGCCUUCAAGGCAUCGGUUCCUCUCAUAGCAUUUCCCAAUCAAAGUAUUAAAAUGAGAGUUUUAUAUCCAGCCAAUACUCUUCUCAUAGCUGAUAAAGGCAAAUGAGGAAUCAUUUAUAUGAUUUAGGUUAUGAGAAGAGUAUAGGAAGAGAAUAUAAGCAAAGCAUUUAUUUCCCACCUGUAUAGAAAUGAAGCUGCUGUUUCUAAUAAAUCCUACUUGAAAAGAUGGCACUGUUAUGAAAGAACGGAGAGAGAGACCUGAGGCUUUACCUUCGUGCUGCUCCAGCCCCCAGGAGUUCAAGUGGGUUUUCUCUUUCCCAGCCCUUGAAUCAGCAGGCAGAAACUGUGGGUGCUGGCUGAAAGGGGGAGGAUGCUCUGAAGUGAGAUGUAGCUGCACCACAGCCUGGAGGCAGAAGGAGGGCUGUGUGUGCUCAGGGCUGCUGGGGGGGGAGGGUGGUUCGGAAAGCAAAACGAUCCUAUUCAACAAUAGAGGAGAAAUUAGGAGCUUGAAAAUAGCAGCAAAUUGGAAUGAAAAGAAUGCCAAUUACCAACUUUGAUCCCUCUUUUCUUUAUUUUUGUUUGAAAGAAAUAUUUUGUGAUAGGCACAUCUUGAAGUUUUCCACUUUUCUUUUGUUUUAAGCAGUGGGAGAUUUGGUAAACCUGUCCUUUAUCCUGCAAAUUCCCACCCUGAACCCUUUGUCCUAAAACUUCUGACUAAUUUCUAGGUAUUUUGAAUACUUAAGUUUGAGAAGACGUGGGAACUGACGACUUCUGUCCUCCGAGGAGAUGGCAUGAAUUACUGCAAUUGGAAAAUAAUUAAGAAGCAAUUACAGAAGCAAACAGAAAUCCUGUGCGUACAGCCAGGCCAUUAAAAUAUGUUCUCUAAGAAAUUACCACAACCACGCUGGAAAGAAAAGCGACAUUUAAAUAAAGUUAUGGUUAUAACAAACUAAAAAGGAAGAAAAAAACCAAAGCAAUUCGUCCUGGAAAAAGUAAGUACUCAUCUGCCCCCCCCCACACUGUCAAUCUAUGCUGGUUUCUCUUUCCUUAAUUUUCUUAUGCAGAGUAAUAGUUGUACAUUUUGCACUCCUUUUUCUUACUUUGUUUUUCAGCAAGCAUUGGCUGCUCUGUGACUGUGCUGCAAACGGGAGUGUGUGCAAGUGGGACACGAGGGGAGAACAGCUUCAUGCCUCCCUUCUCCAGCAAGCAGGUAACUGUGCAUUGAAGUACGCCGGUAUUCUGCUGUUGUGCUGGGAGUGCCUCCUGCUCCACGUAUGGCAGAAUGAGACCCAUUGCUCACCACCCCACACGGCAUAUCGCUGCAUCGAUCAAACGCUGCUGCAAUAAAAGUCAGGCCCUAUCCAUGUGCCAAUACGGAGGGAUGUUUCUGAUUAUAAAUUCUCUAUGCAGAGUGCUGGCUAGCUCAUUGAAAAGGCAGAAAUCAAUGACAUUAGCACUCAUAAACCACAUGCAUUGUGACUGCUUCUCAGAACAGCCCUAAUUGGCAUAUGUCUGUCUUAUUGGCCUGCCUCAUAACAAUGCCCCAAAUGAUUCAUGAGACCAAAUAAGAAACAGGUGCAACCAAAACAGCACUCUGUGCCAAAAAUUCAUCUCUUAUGUAAGGAGAGGGGCCAAGGGCAUGGCUCAAACUGCUCCUUAUCGACUCCAGGAUGUGACUUCAACUCCCUGAAAGAAGCAUGUAGUGAAGUGGGGGUUGGACUCUGCCCCAGCAAUAAGAUGAGAGGGGAAUGGCCUCAGACUGUACAGGGAGGGUCAGGUUGGCUCUCAGAGCAAUGUCUGCUCCAGAGAGCAGCCAGGCACUGGCACAGCUGCCCAGGGGUGGGCAGUCCCCGUCCAUGGAGGUGUUCAGAGCCGCGGGGAUGUGGCACUGAGGGGUGGGCAGUGGGCACGGGGGGGGGGUGGGGGUCACAGAGGGCUUUUCCAGCCUGAAUGGUUCUGUGAUUCUAAUAAUGAGCUAUACAAAUCAUCCCAAGGGUGAACCUGCUGUCUAGUCACUGAAAUCUAUUGAGUGGGUAUUUGGGUUGCUUUUUUUAGGGUUAAUUUAUUUAAACCUGCAUGGGGUUGGAUUGAGGGGAAAAAAAGGAAAUCGAGCUGAUUACAGACUUUGUUUCUCAGUAAGAUAACUGAAACACUGGUCUAUCUGCUAUUUAUUAUACAAAAUGGGCAUCUUGUGAUUUGCUUCAAAUGAAAAAGGGACUUGAAUGGCAUGGCCAGUGGUCACGGGCCAUGAAGAGGGGAUGAUGGCACUGCACUGUGAGCCACCACAGCCCUGCAUCAUUCCAGCAAGUCACAGAUAAAAGCUUAAACGCUUGCCCCCCACUCUUUGCCAUGUGGUCCAUUAAGUUAGCUGCAGGCAAAGGGCAUAUUUGUCAAAUGCACAUUGUGCUGACUCAGCAUUCUGGUUAUCUGUUGGGCAUUCAAUUUCACCCUGGUGCAAAGCCUUUUUAGUUUCCCUUGGCGAAUAAAUUACAAAUGCUAAUUUCUGCUCAGUUGAAGAGAAGAUUAAGGCAGUGUAACAGACAGGCAUGCCAAAAUAUUUAUUGAAUAAGUUGCAAAAGCGAAACAAAAAGGCUGUGUAUUUCAAACUGAGUGCUGAGCAGGGCUCCAAGCUGAAUUUAAGAGCAGCUCCUUUAUUCACCCAGAAUCCAAUUUAGUGCGAGUAUAUUAUAUCCAGCAUCUGUAUGCUGAAAUCCACUGCUGAAUAAGCUUCUAAAAUUCUAUUUUCUGCAGUUUCAGUGCAUACUUGCACAUAUGUUUCUUAGUAAAUCACAGUAAUGACCCUAAUUCCAUGAGGAGGACCUAAAGCAAAUGCUGCCCCUGGGCUGCUACUCACCCAUCCACAACUGCUCUACGAGGUUAGCACUUGUUUUCUUCUCUAUUUCCAUCCAGACUGCUGUAACUGAAUGGGGAGAACAAUCUGAGAACUGUUAGAGAAGUAUUUGGGAUGUAACAGCUGCAUUAAUACCUAUUUGGGGUCACAGUUAGAGAAACGUGCGGUUCUUUCAGUUCACACAGACGUGGUGGGAUUUCUGUUAGGCAGCCACAGAGAAUUAAAAGCUCACUUUGAAAAGCCCUGGAUGGGGCUGAGUGACAAAUUGAGCUGCUUGUAGAGUCACCUGUAUUUUUAUAUGCGCACAGGAAAGGCAGAUUUUGUUCUGUUUCUGACAAGCAGUUACUGUAGCACCCUUUCAGUUUUGCAGGCAUUAGAGACUUCAGUUUGCUGCACAAAAUAAUGAGUUACGCUGUGUCUGCAUUAAACAACAGAGAUACAUGUCAGCAUUUCCAUGUCAUCCUUCUGUCACAGUAAAUGAAUGACAGUACAACAUAUGGGCUCAUUAGGUAACAUCCAACAGGUUAAUAGCCAUCGAUGUGUUGGAUUUCAGUUAUGCGUGUGUAAGUGUUUUUAGAUAUGCCAGCAAAUGAAGCCGGAGGGAAGAAAAUUUCACGAAAGCCAAAAUAAUUUGAGAGAGCAUUUGCAAAAAUGAAGUGCUGAAUUUAACCAUUUCAGUGCAUGUUGAGCUGCAAGCAGUAGGAACAGCCUCGUGCAGUUCUCAUUUUCAAUACGAUCUGCUCAAAGAAGUUCAAGUGGAUAAUAAAUACACUUCAACAAAUAAAGAUCUGUUUGAAGAGAGCUUCUGGGAUUGUGGGAAUAAAAGCCUGAGGGUAACUUCAGUCCGAUCACUGCUAAAAUCCAGACUGUAACAUUGAGGUGAUAAACAAAUGAGACUUAAGGAGCCACAGGCCUUGGGAUUAAGAGUCAGAAUAAGAACAUGAGGUACAUUUACUUCAUUGUGCAAUGUAAAUAACCCAUUUAAAAAUUAACGUUGUUGCACUGACAAUGCAUUGCUAGAUAGGAGAACACAUGCAGUCAUUGUUCUCCCCGCCUCUUUUAUUUUACUUAUACUAACCCCUUGGAGCAGCCGGCUGCUCAGCCGUGAUAGCGAUGCUCACAACCUCCUUCCUUCCCAGAAGUCUCCACAGUCUCCAGGAUCUUGCUCCAGUGACAUCCACUGCCAAUGUUUCUCCACUUAGAAUACGUCCUGGCAUCCUUGUGAUUAUCUUCUGCUGUGCUCUGUUCAGUGGAUAAACCGGAGGCAGUUACUGACAUAUAAAACUCUCAGUGGUCAGAGCCACCAAAGCUCUGUAGGUGGAUGUGAGUCUGUGAGACUGGCUUUGUAAACUUGGGUUGUGUGUAAAGGGGAGAUGUGUCUUCAGUGUCUUGCAACACCAAUGAUUGCUAAAACCAACAUGAAGCCCGAACUGCCCCAUGCAGCGUUUGCUCUCAGCCCCUGGAAUUAGUCUUGAAUUCUCAUGAUAGAAGGAUGUGCUCAUAAUUCAGAAAGUAAACAUACACAGCUACCUCUGUGCCUUUAUGGGGAGGGUGACAGAGCACUGGAACAGGCUCCCCAGGGAGGUGGUGGAGUCUCUUUGUAUGGAGAUAUUCAAGACCUGUCUGGACACCUACAUGUAUGACCUAUUAUAGGGUACCUACUCUAGCAGGGGGUUAGACUUGAUCUUUUGAGGUCCCUUCCAACCCCUGUGGUUCUGUGACUGUGUUUCUGUAAUACACACAAGCAACACCUACAGUAUACGUAGCUUGAUGUACAUAGUCUUAUAUGUAAAUGUUUAUAUAACCACGAUUUAAAGUCUGAUCAUAUUUCCACCAGCUUUCUCUCUUGAUCCUGAUGCAAUGCACUGUAGCAUGUCCUGGCUGUCUGUACCAUACCCUUUGGCCUGAUAUCUGUGGCUACAUACCUAUAGCGGCUAUCAAAGAGGGGGUGGGGGAUCCUGCUUUGCCACAGGGACAUGAUUAAGAUCCCCUUAGCACAUUGACCAUGACAUCUGCAGGUCAUGCACCUAUUGCUGGGGGGACUACCAAUCCUCCAACCUCCAAUCAUCUCCCCUAGGUGCAAGUAGGCCACACCACAUUGGUCCUACUUGCACUUUCCAAGGCCAUUCUAUUUUAUGGGUACCAGGUUCUAGGUUUUCAGGGGCAGGGAGCAGAAGAUUAUUUUAAUUGCCAGUUUGGGGUCUUACCUGAUUAUCGGUGCCCAUAAUUUGGAUCCUUAGCAGGGAAGCCCAUGUUGCCUGCAGCAUCUUUAGGGCAUUGGGUCUGCCAUCUCUAGGCCUUUCAUUCAGGUUCUGCAGGGCUUCAUAGAGUCUUUGUCCACCCCUGCAGGGACUGAGAGUCUGUCUUCAGGGCAGUCUUCAGAAUACCAUUAUAGCAUUCAAUAAGGCCUGUCCCCACCAGAUUGUAUGGCAGAUGGAAUCACCACUCAAUGUUGUUUUCUUCUGUCCAGCACUGUACCACUGCACCAGUGAAAUAAGUCAUCGAGAGUGACCAAGGGACUCGAAGUGUUCCGUAGGCAGCCAUCAUCUUGCUGCUUGCAGAGUGUGCAGGAGACUGCAUAUGAGCCCAGCAUCAGUCCUGCAGGAGUCAGCAGCCAGGCACAGACUGGCUCCUGGUGCUGCCUGAUGGAGAGUGGCCGCUGGGUGGAAGGAGCUGCUGUUCCCUCCUUUGGACCCAGAGUAACUUUUAAAUCAUUCUGGGAAGAAAGGAAUGGCAUAUUUGGUGUCUCAGAUGUUCCUUGAGCAGUACGACCUGCACAGAAGUGACGUAUAGUGGACACAAAACAGCUCCUCAAUUAGGGAGACGUAGGGGCAGAAUCACAUCUCCCCAGCAGAACUCAAGAAGCCCUUCUUAGCACUACCACUGCGCAACCGAAGGUAUUUGAUCUGAAGUAUGAAGAAUGAUUUAAUCAGACAGAUUAACCUACCUGGUGCAUCUGAAACACUUCCAUUCCAUCGAAGUCCAUCAACAACAUAGGCUUUAAGUGGAGUUUUAAAAAGUUUAUGAGAAGAAUAUGGAAGGAAUAAGGAGAGUGACAAUUCAGCACGUUUUAGCUCACGUGCUUCUGCAGCAGAAGGUACAGCACUGGGAAUGGGGGCACUGCUGUGACUGACCCCACCACAGGACCUGGCCACCCCAGAGCAUAUUUUCAAGGACUAAUUUCAAGUGUAUACGUUAUAAAUCUGCAAACUAUCUCUGUGAGCCGUGCAUGCUUUACAUCCCUUCAAUCCCAUUGCCUAAUAUUAGUGAAAGUGACAAGACAUUAACUGCAUAUUAAUUGAAUUUUUCACGGAUGAUUAAAAUACAGAAACUGUGCAACAGAUUUCUCCUUUGAGGUGUAAUAAAAGUGAAGGGGAAAUGAAUAAAUUGCCUAUUUUAGAGAUUUUAUAUAUAGUGCAAAUAGACAUUUUCCUUUUAGACAUCUCACCAGGAAGAAAGCAUUUGUUGCAGGGAGCAAGAAGAUGUACUGCUGUCUGAGUGUGACACUCAGCAUGCAGUGACACGAGCAGACUCUGGUCCCAGGCAGGAGCACAGCCCAUGGGUUUCCAGGGGGCAGGAGCAGGUACUGAGCACAGGAAUCACUGCUCCCAGCAAUGCAGAGUCACUGAAGUCAGGUAACAUCCUCCGUCCUUAAAAAAGAAGUUGUGGAUGCCCCAUCCCUGCAGGCAUUCAAGGCCAGGCUGGAUGUGGCUCUGGGCAGCCUGGUCUGCUGGUUGGCGACCCUGCACAUAGCAGGGGGUUGGAACUGGAUGAGCAUUGUGGUCCUUUGCAACCCAGGACAUUAUGCGAUUCUACGAUUCUAUGAAAAGAAAAUACCUUCCUUGGGUGACGUGCCAUGAUUAGCCUGAGCAGCAGAGGAGCAAUGCAUUUUGCUGUCUUUAGCUAUUUCUCUAGCGUUAUGCAAUGGGAGAAAUAAAGUUGGAAGCCAUGCGGAGCAGCACUGCUCUGACCCUUUGCAGACUCCGGACGAGCAGAGCAGGACCUGUGAGGACAUUUCUUUUUGUACCCUCACCGCACACAGCUUGCUGUGCUGCAGCUGUCACAGCUCACAUGUUGCAAACCUUCUUAAUGCCAGGAGAGAGCCCGUAGGCGCUGUAGGAGCUGGCUCUGCAUGUGGCCUUGCUCUGUUGCAUCCAUGUUUGCAGAGAGCCAUCCAGCCUGGUGACCCAGCCGUAAUUUG